CAGUCUGUUGCUCAGUCAGUCAGCAGGAAGACAGCAUGGAGGUCACAGCUCUCUGCAUAAGACUGUGGAUGGACAUGUUGGUCCUGCUGCUUGUAAGAGUUGACCACAGUUACUUUGCUCAGAAAGCUAAUGCGGCUUUUCCUCGUGUUCUUCCAGACAGACUGCAGUUU
Perca fluviatilis (European perch) is the source of this 170-nucleotide long non-coding RNA. RefSeq lists it as uncharacterized. NCBI's taxonomy places the organism in Eukaryota, Metazoa, Chordata, Actinopteri, Perciformes, Percidae. The transcript has 3 exons. The record is from RefSeq and is a predicted model, not a curated record.